UACGAGGGGGGCAAGCGUUGUUCGGAAUUAUUGGGCGUAAAGGGUGCGUAGGCGGUUUGGUAAGUCUGAUGUGAAAUCUAUGGGCUCAACUCAUAGUCUGCAUCGGAAACUGCCGGGCUUGAGUGUGGGAGAGGUGAGUGGAAUUCCUGGUGUAGCGGUGAAAUGCGUAGAUAUCGUUUGGAACGCCAAUGGUGAAAACAGGUUGCUGGGGAUAUGCUGACGCUGAGACACGAAAGCCAGGGGAGCAAACGGG
RNAcentral lists this ribosomal RNA (253 nucleotides) under uncultured bacterium. Its description in RNAcentral is "partial 16S ribosomal RNA". It matches the Rfam family "Bacterial small subunit ribosomal RNA", at positions 524 to 776 of the family's 1533-position model. The record is from RNAcentral.